AUGCUGGCCCCAGGCGAAGAGCACAAGACGGCCUUCUCAACACACCAGGGCCACUUCGAGUUCAAGGUUCUGUCCUUUGGGCUAGCCGGGGCUCCACCCACGUUCAUUGAAGGACUGACUACUACUCUCAAGCCGGUGAUACGCAUUUGUGUGCUCUGUUUCUUCGAUGACAUCUUGAUCUUUAGUGCCACUUUGGAGGAACACAAGUGUCAUGUGCAACAAGUGCUGGAACUACUUCGCAAAGACCACUGGAAAGUUAAGCUCGGCAAAUGUGCGUUAGGACAGAGCAAAGUUUCUUAUCUAGGCCACGUCAUCAGCGCACAAGGUGUGUCAACAGACCCGACCAAGAUAGCAGCAGUGGCCAACUGGUCCCCUCCACAAGAUGUCAAGGGAGUCAGGAGUUUUUUGGGACUUGCGGGCUACUACCGUCGUUUUGUGUGCAACUUUGGAGUGAUUGCUCGAUCGCUCUUUAACUUGCUGAAGAAGGGCGUCCCAUUCCUCUGGACAUCAAUCACAGAAACUGCUUUUCAGGUUCUCAAGCAACAACUCAUCACCACACCGGUUCUGGCCUUGCCAAAUUUUGAUCAACCAUUCACAGUGGAGGCUGAUGCAUGCGGCCGUGGCAUAGGGCCAAUUCUGUAG
Molecule: ribosomal RNA, 642 nt
Filed under: Triticum aestivum (bread wheat)
Lineage: Eukaryota; Viridiplantae; Streptophyta; Magnoliopsida; Poales; Poaceae
Description: partial small subunit ribosomal RNA
Source: RNAcentral